RNAcentral lists this transfer RNA (69 nucleotides) under Tanichthys albiventris. RNAcentral describes it as "Tanichthys sp. c TY-2022 tRNA-Ser". Lineage: Eukaryota; Metazoa; Chordata; Actinopteri; Cypriniformes; Tanichthyidae. The record is from RNAcentral.
GAAAAAGGAUAUUAAUCAAUAAGUACUGCUAAUCCUUAUAUACCGUGGUUAAAAUCCGCGGCUUUUUCA